RNAcentral lists this ribosomal RNA (364 nucleotides) under uncultured bacterium. RNAcentral describes it as "bacterial SSU rRNA". It matches the Rfam family "Bacterial small subunit ribosomal RNA", at positions 917 to 1271 of the family's 1533-position model. The record is from RNAcentral.
GGGCUCACACAAGCGGUGGAGGAUGUGGCUUAAUUCGAGGCUACGCGAAGAACCUUACCCAGGCUUGACGUGUCUAGGAAUUCCUGUGAAAGCAGGAAGUGCCCUUCGGGGAACCUUAGCGCAGGUGCUGCAUGGCUGUCGUCAGCUCGUGUCGUGAGAUGUCGGGUUAAGUCCCUUAACGAGCGCAACCCCUACCGUUAGUUGCCAGCGUGUAAUGACGGGGACUCUAACGGAACUGCCGGUGCAAACCGUGAGGAAGGUGGGGGAUGACGUCAAAUCAUCAUGCCCCUUAUGUCUUGGGGCCUUCACGCAUGCUACAAUGGCCCGGUACAGAGGGCUGCAAUAACCCGUAAGGUGGAGCGAA